RNAcentral lists this long non-coding RNA (1182 nucleotides) under Anas platyrhynchos platyrhynchos (common mallard). RNAcentral's name for it is "lncRNA (ENSAPLG00000020133.1)". Lineage: Eukaryota; Metazoa; Chordata; Aves; Anseriformes; Anatidae. The record is from RNAcentral.
AGGAGAGAUGUUUCGUGCAAUUAUGAAUCAGCAUCACAGUCCAAAGUCUGUGACACUACUGCAUCCUAUUGCAAAAGUGUUGUAAAACUGUAUCAUGCAAUUUGUACUGCACAGGUGUAACGGCAAUCUUAUAAUUUAGGUCAUGACUCUUGCUUUUUAUGGCUUGGUCUGUUUUUUAACUGUUGAACCUGAAGUUUUCAACCUCAUGUCUGACUUGAAUUCUUCUCUCUCUCUCUCUUUUUUUUUUUUUUUUUUUUUUUAACUUCAAGAAAGUUUGACAGUAAUUCAGCCAUUUCUAGAACGCACCUCAACUUUAAGAUUCCUGGACAAGUGUCUUCUAAGCAAAAGACUUUGCAGAGUCAUUUUAUUGAGGAAAAGUGUUAGCCUCAAGUCUUAAAAAGGAUGUUUAAAAAUCCAGUAAAAAAUGUGGAGUCAGAGGCCUUGUUUUACCUCACAAACCUCCCAGGGUUAACAACAGUUCGUGUUGAGAGGCCGGUCUGUGUGUGGUGCCUCAGUGAGGCGAGGGGCUCCUGAAUGGCAGUGGGCUUCUAAGAUUAUGGAUUUUCUCCUUAAAGCUCUAAAUAAUACAUCUAGGAUUUGUUUUUAUCUGGAUGUGUUCGCAAAGACCCUGUAAUCAUAUAAGCAAGUGCUCUGGAGUGGGUCUCUUGCAACACUUCGGGGAGGGAUCCCAAAGAGCUGCCAAAGCACCGCUGUGUGGGCCUGUCCUGCUUCUUUCAGAAAACACAGGAGGAUUUCCAUAACUUCUGAUGAUCUACCAGCAGCAGCCACUGCAAACACCAGGUGACAUUUCCAAGGUGAUAGGCUCUGUAUGUGUAACUAAGCCCUGCCAUAGGCUGCUACCAAAGACUUUCCAGGACGCCAGUGAAGUGACCAAAGUAGAUGCUAAUGCACUGUCUCAAGGUAAUUGCCCUCUCACAUCUCAUUUUGCACCAGCUGUUAUGUAGCUGUAGCAAUGGAAAACAAGCUGCUAUAUAUAACUGUUUUUAAUAUACAUUAGUAACAGACAUAUGUUUUAUGUGCUUAGCUGUAAUUAACACUUUUCCAGAUUUACAAUAUCCAGUUUCUGUGUUUAUUUUUGUUCAACAGAUUUAAUGCUAUAUUCAUAGAACUAGCUGGGUAUUUUUCAAUAAACCAAAUAUCAGAAAGUGGCGAUUUGUUGAA